This is a non-coding RNA of Pelobates cultripes (western spadefoot toad), 4215 nucleotides long. The record is from the annotation of a GenBank genome assembly. Lineage: Eukaryota; Metazoa; Chordata; Amphibia; Anura; Pelobatidae.
UUUUUUUUUUUGUUUUGUUUUGGGGGGGUUUUCUUAAGCUUUUUUUUUUUUUUAAAUGAUGCUGUGACAGGAAUGAAAAUUGACACUGAAGCUUCACAUUUUUUUGUGAAUGGGGACAGCAUGUGUUUUUAAUAUUUGUAUGUGUUUUUGUAUGUUUUUGGUUUUUACCUUAUGAUCUUUGAUACACUUAAUUUUAUUUGAACUCAUUCUUUCACUUUUGGGUUGUGUGGCUACUUCUCAAUAUUCCCUAUAUAAUGGGGUACUGACAUUUCAUCACUAAUCUAACUAAUGGUAGAGUCAGAUUUGUGGCAAGAAUAGAUUUGGAGACGGAACAAUAGCUGACAUUUUGUCUUUUCACAGUAAUUCCUUUAUAAGUUAUAGGGAUAUUUUUACAUAUCUAUUUCCGAAUAGUAUGUGCCAUUUGAUAUUGUAUCUAAAAGUACUAACGUAUAGAUACCAUUGCAAAGGUUUCCAGAAAAUGAACAAAAACGUUCAACAUACCAUUGCAAUGUUUUUUGUUUGCCCCUGAUGCUUUUCAUUUUUUUGUGGUCAAUAUGUAUUUGAUCCACACGUGCACAUAGCAGAAAAUACUGCAAAGUGGUUCCCACUAAGAAUGUAUCACAUUAUUUUAAAAUUGGUAGUUUUCAGUGAUGCCUUACAGAGCUCCAAUCCAGACUUUUUGUGCCUGAAACCUAAAUUGGAAGAAAAAUAUGUAUAGUUUGGUUUUGGUUUUUCCUUAAAACUCUGCCAAAAUUAAGUGCUUUUCAUGAGCGUCCUAUGUGGGAGUACUAGGAAACCUUUAAGACCCAAAUAGGUUGCAAAUGUCAAAUGUGUAUUUUUAUACCAUUGUGUGCCAGUUAUGUAAGCAAUGCACUGUGUUGGUAAUCGCAUUGGCACAAAUUACAAUUUAAGCAGAUGUUAAACUUGCCUUUUGAACCAUUUAUUUUUGGUUCCAGCAAACUACUAAUACAUGAUGAAGCGAUUUUCUUGUAAACAGAUAAUCCCUUUAAAAGUCGUACGGACACUUUUAAUUACCCAGAUGCCGUGGUAAAAGAUUGGAUGGGGAAUGGUAGUUGUAGUACUUUCUUGGUUCUUAUAAUGCCGAAGCAGAUAACAUGACACUUGUUUUCUAAAUGUGUAAGUAAAUGAUUAUAAUUUUUUUUAUUGGUGGGUUGAUUUAGUGUUGUAUAAAAGUAGAUAUUUAGCUAAUGAGAUACAAGGGCCACAGGAUAAAGCAUUGGAACUUUAAUACUCCUGAUGUUGCCUAACCCAUACAGGUCAAGUUUUAACUUGCCCUACACUGAUAGCAUAGAUGGAAGUUGCUACAGCUAACUAUUAUGCCACAAAAUCCAUAAAAUCUGAGUUGAUAAAUGUACACUUUUAUUUUGGUUUUAUUUAGAAAAGGAGUGUUUCCAACCAUGUACUAUAAUUACUCCUAAUGUUUUUAUCCAUAUGUUUUGAAUUUAUACAACCAAAGAUCCACAGAUUGUGCUUCUGGGUGUAUCUAUGUCUAUGUAAAUCCAGCUGCAUACACGUUUUUGUGUAUGUGCAUUCAUAUUUUAUGCCAUGCUGUUAAUGUUUUUUUGGGAUGUCAUCAUGCUGCCACAAUUUAAAGUAGAAAGGAGACAGAUGUUGGAAUUUGGUGCAAUUUUUUUAAUUGAUUCAUUGAGCAUCUGUUUUUUUUCCCUCCCCACUAUAUAAGUUAAUUGGGCUUCACUUUUUCAUUUUAAAUAUUGUUUAGUAUCAAAUUAAACAGUGAUGCAUUAUUCUUCCGUGUGUCUUGGACUUUAAUUUUGUUCAUAAGAAGAAUGUUGUAGGCCCGUCUGUCACUUUCCAACAAUUUGUCUUAGGAAAGAGAAGCCUUUGAAACUGCAUAGCUGCAUUUCAAAGGAAUUCUCAAAGCACCAUAACCACUACAUCUUUUUGUCACCCUGCCAUUAUAAAUAGUCAAACCUGUUUGAGCUCUUACAUGAGGUCCAUUGGGCACCAAUCCCCACCUCCACCAUUAACAAUGAAGAACCAGAAGCUCUCUGUCUAAAUGAAGUUCUGCACUGUAGUGCUUAGUUUAGGAGAGCUAAUGGAAGUUCCCGCUUAGGACUUUCCAGUUCCUUGUUGUCUGCAGUAUAGGCAGAAAUAGGAGCCCACCAGAUUCAUUGGCUUCUUACAAUGGGUGGGGCACCAGGGCACUUGUGGUACCAUAACCACUGUAGUAAACUGUAGUGGUUAUGGUGCUUGGAAUGUUCCUUUAAUGCAUGAAAAAUUUUUUUUUUAAAUAAACAAAUGGUGAUUUAAUAAAUAACUAUAAAAAACCCCUUCUGUAAUGAUCUGCAAUGCCUUCUGCUUCCUCAAUAUCAUUUUGGAACAACAUGCUCGGUUCUUCCAGCCAAUUUUUGUUUUUCAUUUUACUUGUAUAGGCAGCUUGUAUAUCAUGCUCACUAGCACUGCCAUGUUUCUUUAUUGGCUGAAAUUAAUGAAUGAACUAAAACAUGUUUAAGUCAAUGAAUGCUACCUGCUGCUUUUAUUCACUGGAAUGUUUGUUAAAUCAUUAUUUCAAGUCAGUGGAGAAACCGUUGUACACACAUGCGUCCUAACUUUUCACUUUCGCUUUCUUUUGGAAAAGCCAGCAAGUGGAAAGUUGCCAGCGUGUGCACUAGGUUGCACAAUAUUUCUGCAAAUAUCAAUUAUUGUUUUUGCAUGGGGCGUUAGCAAAGGAUUUCAAGGGCAAUUCUAUAUUUGCUAUCAAUGUACUGCCAGUUAAUUAUAGAUAAAAGAAUGAAGUUAUUCAACUCCCUUAUUGUUAGAAUCAAUUGUUCCACCUUUGAACCAAGCCACAGUGUGUUUGUUCCACUGUUACAUAAGAGUCUCUACAUAGGUGCCCCCCAUAUAUAUUAUAUUUUUUUAAAUGGCAGAAAUUUAAUUAUUUUAUUAUCCUUUAUGUAUACUCAACACAUCAUUAAGUGUGAAUGAAAUGUUAAAAAUGGGUAAACAAAACAUAUUUUUCAAAAUUUUUUCUUUUAAUACAUUUCCACAUCCAGUGCUACUUAAGAAAAGGAACUCAAAAUAGAUCAUAUCAGCCAUGUUUUUUUGUUUUUUUUAAAUACCACAUAUGUCUAGGAUCUAAAAUUACUUUUGACGGAUAAUGCUAACUGUAUACAGACCUAAAUUAUGCUUACUCUAACUGUAUACCUACCUUAACCUAACACUAACCCUAAAACCGCAUUAACACAUACCCUAAUACUAACCAUACCCCUUAUAAAUUCCCUCUGCUAAUAUCAGUACGGAUAGUAGAUGUAUUUUCUUUGACUGCCAUCUACUGGCCCUUUUCAGAAUGGAGAUCUCACUGUAAUGCUGAACCUCCAGCAUGCUCCCUAGCACUGAUCACAAUUGGCAAGGGGCAUGCAGGGAGAACCUUUGUCUUCUGUUGAAUAACUCCCACAGCUGACAGCUAGCGAUUAACCAUGACUGAGCUUGAUCUGCUUAGCCACAGUGAUUUCAAAAGGCUGUAUACAUUGCAUAUAUAUCAGUCAGUCUGGGACCAUUAAAUAUUAAAGCCCAUGUAUUGAUUGAUACCGGGAUAGCCUGUUCAUACCAUGUUGCAGCCACUAAGAUUCAAAUCCCCAUUUAAAGGACUGUAUGCAACACUCACUUGGAGCGCUGCAUACAGCUUAUCAGUUUGGAGCCACUAAAGAUGACGGAGCCCCAAGUACCUCUCAUAUGUUGUUAAAGCCUGUUUUUUGUAGGACAUAAUGACACGUCCUAACAUCGUUAUGGGGCAAAAACUCACUUUUCUCAAUUUUAAAUGUUUACUUAUCAAUAUAUUUAAUAAUUAUGUAUUUGUCUAGUAUGAAAAAUAAAGUUAAAUGUAGAAAUCAACACUUCUUUAUCCUGCAGCUGGGCACCUCCACCUAAACCUGGCUGUCGGCAUAAAGAAAGCAUACAGAGAAGAAGAGAAAUUAAACAAUAUUUCUAUUGAAAUUAUGGUUCACCUUUAUAUUUACUCCGAGGGUAUAGCCAUAUAUAAGUGUGGUUUACUCUUAAAUACAAUUUACGUAAAAGUGUGCCACUGUGCAAAAUAUCUUUUUAAGGUUGUUCAUAAAGUAAGUAUACUGCUUAUGUACACUUGUUGAGUUUUUUAUGAUGUACAAUUUUUUGAGGAGCUAUAACAUUAUGUAAAAUGUAAUAAUGUCCAAUAAAGAGAUUAAAUAUAAAUAACAA